GACGAACGCUGGCGGCGUGCCUAAUACAUGCAAGUAGAACGCUGAAGGAGGAGCUUGCUCUUCUGGAUGAGUUGCGAACGGGUGAGUAACGCGUAGGUAACCUGCCUGGUAGUGGGGGAUAACUAUUGGAAACGAUAGCUAAUACCGCAUAAUAACAGUUGUUGCAUGACAACUGUUUGAAAGGUGCAAUUGCAUCACUACCAGAUGGACCUGCGUUGUAUUAGCUAGUUGGUGGGGUAACGGCUCACCAAGGCGACGAUACAUAGCCGACCUGAGAGGGUGAUCGGCCACACUGGGACUGAGACACGGCCCAGACUCCUACGGGAGGCAGCAGUAGGGAAUCUUCGGCAAUGGACGAAAGUCUGACCGAGCAACGCCGCGUGAGUGAAGAAGGUUUUCGGAUCGUAAAGCUCUGUUGUAAGAGAAGAACGAGUGUGAGAGUGGAAAGUUCACACUGUGACGGUAUCUUACCAGAA
RNAcentral lists this ribosomal RNA (476 nucleotides) under Streptococcus sp. oral taxon C56. RNAcentral's name for it is "bacterial SSU rRNA". It matches the Rfam family "Bacterial small subunit ribosomal RNA", at positions 28 to 488 of the family's 1533-position model. Lineage: Bacteria; Bacillati; Bacillota; Bacilli; Lactobacillales; Streptococcaceae. The record is from RNAcentral.